UUUCCGGCCACCGGCGUGACGCAGCGUAGAGGCGCAGGCGCAGUCACUUAUGCAGUGCGCACUUCCUGUGAGGUUUCCUGCGGCCAUCUUGUACGAGUCUUGGGAUGCAGCCAUGGUAGAGACUAGAUCCCCUUCGGUUUCAGUAACUGAAGAGGAACUAGAUUAUUUAUUAUAAACCCUGUAUUUCCCCUUGUGUUUAUGUACGUUUUUGUCCCCUGCUGUUCAGAUACAGAAUUAGAAGUGGAUCUAGCUCAUUGUCUUUAAAAACAGUAAUUCCACUUCAGUUAAUGUUACAGCUACAUCAACUGCACGGGAAAUGGCAUACGCCGCCUACAGGUCAGGAAUGGAAUUAGAAGUGGUUCUAGCUCAUUGUUUAUAAAAACAAUAAUUCCACUUCAGUUAAUGUUUCAGCUAUAGCUACUGUAGGGGAAAUAGCAUACGCCGCCUACAGGUCAGGAAUGGAAUUAGAAGUGGAUCUAGCUCAUUGUUUAUAAAAACAAUAAUUCCACUUCAGUUAAUGUUACCGCUACAUCUACUGCACGGGAAAUAGCAUACACCGCCUACAGGUCAGGAACGGAAUUAGAAGUGGAUCUUUCUCAUUACAUGAUAUUUGGUACACUUAUAAAGGAGUAUCCCCUCUAUCAUUGUACCAAAUAUGGGGUGAAUCGGUCCGGUAGAACCGGAGAUAUGUAGGGCUAAACAUGGCAAAUUUUUGGCCCACUUAGGGAACUAGAGCGACUGUAAGCUUCAGCCGGUGUCUUGGGAACUUGUACCAAAACAGAAAUCUCUACUUGGAAAAAAGCACCUCAACUUCUUCCGACCGGUGCAUUAGAUGUUUUUGAAUCCGGGGAACGACCCAGUCCCGGUUGGCUUAAUAGUCCGCAUAUCCCAUUGCGGUGCUGUUCAGCUGAGGCCAACCUAGGGAACCAGAGUAUUUGUGCCCUUGAGCCGGUGUCCUGGGAACUUGCGCUGAAACAAAACUCUGUACUUAGAAAAAAGCACCUCAACAACUUCCGACCGGUGCAUGGGUGUGUUUGAACCCUGGGGGGUCGCAGUCCCGGAGGGCUUAAUAGUCCAGAAAUUAGGGGGUGGCGGGAGGCCCAGUCCCUUCCAGUGUACCGAUUUCCCCCAAACUUCGCCCAUUUCUAGAUAGACAUCAUGGGGGCAUGUCUGGCAAUUUUGGGGUGAUUCUGAUUUAUGGAACAUGAUCAACCGACCGGAGAACCGCAAGGACUUUACCCCGUCAGAGCCCCCGGGUAAGUCAAUGGCAAAGUACCGGUGCCUGGAUGUCCUAGAUCUCCGGUUCUGGAGGAGUUAUUUACAUGAAAUUUAGACAGGUAGAUGAGUAUCCUCUCUAUCAGUGUACCAAAUCUGGGCUGAUUUGGUCCAACAGAAUCGGAUAUAGACCAGCAAAGUGACGUUUCUCUACCCGGGAGAGGACGGGUUAAGCCCUGCCCAAGUACUGCUGACUGGAAGUCAUGUAUCUCUGGUUCUAGAUAAGCUAAAUACUUUCAGAACCGAAAAAUAUAGACCGACAAAGUCACCAAUCUCUACCCAGGCACAGCCUGGGUAAAGUCAAUGGGAAAGUACCAAUGCCUGGAAGUCCUGUAACUCUGAUUCUGAAGGAGCUAAUUACAUGAAAUUUGUUAGACAUCUAAAUCCCCUCUACUAACGUACCAAAUCUGGGGUGAUUCGGUCCAGCAGAACCGGCGAUAUAGACCAGCAAAAUGGCCUCUCUCUACCCGGGAGAGGACGGGUUAAGUUCUGACCAAGUACCGGUGACUGGAAGUCCUGGAUCUCCUGUUCUGGAGGAGGUUAAUUUGGUACACUAAUAGCAAAGUAUCCCCUCUUCUAGUGUGCCCAAUUUGGGAUAAAUCGAUCUGGUAGAACCGGAGAUAUAGACCAUUAAAGUUACCGCCACUCACUUUUCCACAGAAAUGCAUUGGAUGAAAGAUAGGCCCCAACCGCAUCCUGCCUCGAUUUUGCUCAUUCCCUGGGAUAUAUUGGUUUCGGUGUAAUUUGAAAGCGGAAUAUUUCUGCUUUUAGGGGAAACCAGAACCAAGUUUCUAUGUGCCCGGGAUUAAAGGUUAAGACCUGUUAAGUAAGCAAAAAAAAGCUUUGCCAUUGUAAGUCAAUCGGACCGAAUGGACCGGAUUUGAGCCCGAAAUAUAUCCGGUUCAAAGAAAGUUAUUAGAAAAUGGAGAGAUACGUUUUGAAGAGGGGGAGCUCAGCUUUCAAACCCCAUAUUUGUAGACCUUCAGGAACCAGAGCUACACAAUUUGAAAACCCAAGUUAAUUUUGAACUGCGGUUCUGCAACUUUGAGCUUGAAUAUCUCCGGUUCUGGAUGGGCUAGAUUUCAAUGGUUCCUGAAUCCCCAGGGUCCCCUCUUUCCAACGAGCCCCUUCUCAUAAUUUUAGGGUGCACGGGGGCGGAACGCGGUCAAAUCGCCACUCGCUAGUCCGGUUUCCAAAGUGAGGACUUGGUCAUUUUUUAAACUUUUGGCCAGUGGGUCAACUUUGAACGGUUGUAUCUCCGGUUCCCGAGUACGUAGAGACAUGCGUUCAGUAUCCCCUGAUAGCUUAGAGUCCCCUUUAAUUUAAGAGUCUACAACUGAAUAUAUAACCCUAAAGUUGGAAGAGAUAUCAGAGUUCAACCGCAAAUUAACGGGUCUCAUUAAAGUCUAUGGGGAUUUUGGUCAAGUUUGAACAGUUGUAUCUCCGGUUUCUGUGGUCUUUAAAAAAUCCAAGAUAUGUUUUGUAGCGCUGGAUCUCUUCUCUCAGCAUACCAAUCUGCUUGUAUAUAGGGGGUCAUUCCGAGUUGAACGCACGCUGCAUCUUUUUGCAGCCCGUGUGAUCAACUAGACGCCGCCUAUGGCUUUCUUGCAUAGCAAGGCUGCGAUCACUUGUGCAUCCCUGCUGUGCAAAUAAAGUUUUGUGCAGAAAAAGACCAGGGUAUGAGUUACUUACCCUGUGUGAUGAAUCCAGCGUUGAUGGUCCUGGAAUUGACGUCAGACAUCCGCCCUCCAAACGCCUGCGUUCGCCGCCCCACUCCCAAAAAACGGUCAGUUGACGCCCCGGAACACCUUCCUCCUGUCAAUCUUCUUGCGGUCGUCACUGCGACCGCUUUCUUCACUAGCAGUGUCAUUGCCUGGCGACGCCGGGCAAUGACGCGCCUGCCCAAUGCAGCCGCAGCGCAUGCGCCUUUCCGACCCGAUCGCACAGCUGCGACGAAGCACAGCGUGUGAUCGGGUCGGAAUGACCCCCAUAGACUCCAAAGAACCUUCUAUAGUGAUUAUACGUUUUGUAGCCCUGGAUCUCUUCUCUCAGCAUACCAAUCUGCUUGUAUAUAGACCCACAAGGAACCGGAGCUACACUGGUUGGAAGCCGGUGACCAUAACAGUGAACUGCUCCAUUAUAGUCUAUAGUAAUUCUAUGUUUUGUAGCCCUGGAUCUCUUCUCUCAGCUAACCGUGAACCGCUCCAUUAAAGUCAACUUUGCCCUGUUGCAUCUCCGGUUCCAGGGGGUCCAUAAAAAAAAUAGGAUUUUAAUACCUACCGGUAAAUCCUUUUCUCUUAGUCUGUAGAGGAUGCUGGGGACCCCAAAAGCACCAUGGGUUAUAGACGGGAUCCGCAGGAGACAUGGGCACACUAUAAGACUUUGAAUGGGUGUGAACUGGCUCCUCCCUCUAUGCCCCUCCUCCAGACCUCAGUUAUAGGAACUGUGCCCAGAGGAGACGAACAUUUCGAGGAAAAGGAUUUUGUUAAACUAAGGGUAAGAUACAUACCAGCUCACACCACACCACACUAUUGUAAACGUCGAUUUACAUAUAGGACUAAAAGCAACACUUUAAAAACAUUAAAUACACUUUAAAAUGGAGCCGCUGCGGCCGCUUGUGAUCAAACCUUAGCCUACGUACUUUUUACACCGUUAGCGUACAAAGCCCCGUGCCGUGUACGUACUUUGCGUACAAACGCCGUGCUGGCCGUACAAAGUACAUGCAGUGAGUACACACCCAAAGACACGCCGUGAGCACUCUGCAGCUACAUGUGUGACUGAAAUACACAUAACCUUAGCAUGGAAAAGAGACACGACACCAGAUUGUAUUUAAGAUGCUGGGUUCCGACACAACAUAUAAUUGCUGAAAGGGGGUUACAAUAACAACAAUACAAUACAAUAGAAAAAUGGCUACAGUCAAUGGUACAUACGUUUUGGUUUCGCCUGCGCUUCCCGGCCCGGUCCUCAGUCAUCAAGGUAGAUGACCUUCAGAGUCUGUGUGUGACCACGCAUACAGCUGGCUUUUUAUACAAUAGUCCAAAACCUAACACAAUGGAAACUGUAAUCUUUGUCCAUUGGACACAGGGAUGGUCAUUUACAGUAUAGGAGAGGUCAUAGGUUGGUUUGAAUAGGUGGGCGAUGUCUGUUCCAGGUGCACUUGCAGAUGGUCUCCUCUGGGUUCCUGCUGCAUACCAAGUGUACAGUAAAUACAGUUAAUAUUUAUAUUCUGCUCCUGCUCAGAACUAUUCGCAGGAGCGUGCGAUCUUCUGCAAACCAACACCGGAAUAUUGCUCUUAAAAUACCCUACAGCUGGAUACCAAACACCACCUUAUAACCUAGUUCUGUCCCCUCCUAUCUUGUAAAGGUGAAUCCCUUUGUUCUGAUACCAUUUAAACUAGUGUAAUUUGCUGGUGUGGUGCAGGGAGACUAUGGGGUACAGGUUGAGUAUCCCAUAUCCAAAUAUCCGAAAUACGAAAUAUUCCGAAAUACGGACUUUUUGAGUGAGAGUGAAAUAGUGAAACUUUUGUUUUUUGAUGGCUCAAUGUACACAAACUUUGUUUAAUACACACAGUUAUUAAAAAUAUUGUAUUAAAUGACCUUCAGGCUGUGUGUAUAAGGUGUAUAUGAAACAUAAAUGAAUUGUGUGAAUGUACACACACUUUUUUUAAUGCACAAAGUUAUAAAAAAUACUGGCUAAAGUUACCUUCAGGCUGUGUGUAUAAGGUGUAUAUAAAACAUAAAUGCAUUCUGUGCUUAGAUUUAGGUCCCAUCGCCAUGAUAUAUCAUUAUGGGAUGCAAUUAUUCCAAAAUACGGAAAAAUCCGAUAUCCAAAAUACCUCUGGUCCCAAGCAUUUUGGAUAAGGGAUACUCAACCUGUAUAUGCAAUUGCGGUCAAAUUGCCGCGAAAGUCGAAAAACGGGGCAUUUUCGUCAAAAAAACAUGUCGAAUUGGAUUCGACAAUGCAAUACAGUACUUUUCGUCAAAAUACCUGCCGUUUCAGAUUCGACUUUUUGCAAAUCGACAUUUUCAAAAUUCAACAUGUCUGCAAUGGUCAAAAUGCGGCUUUUCGACAAAAGUAUAUUCAAUUGAAGAUUGUCGAUUCGACAACAGUGCUUUUCAACAGAAAUUUCGUCAAUUUCAUUCCGCCUCACUUUGCUGGCGGAAUCUAAUAAAAAUAUUUAAAAACAUGUUCUUUUUUUUUUUUUUUUUUAUUGCUAAUAGCAUAUCUAUUUUUAUUAGAAGGGAUUAUGUACUUGGAUUGUCUAUUUUUGACUCACAAGUAUUUUUUAAUAGAUUUUUAAAAAGAAUAUUUUUUUCUUCACUCUGCUGAGGGGAAUGUACCCAUGCUUCAACAGUUUUACCCAGGAUACACUUCUGCAAAACCACUCCAGUAUUGGACCAGUUUACCCCACUCCACCAUGGAUGUCCUACUUGUGAUGUGGACCUGAACCACCGCCAUGAGUCACUCUUUCAGGUCUUGCGGAGUAUCCUUCAAGGUGCAGGAACCGGCGUGGAUGAAGGGACCGGACAGUUCCCGUGCUGUACCAUGGGCGACCUACUUGUGAUGUGGACCUGGACCUCCGCCAUGUAGCAGACCCCCCCCCCCCUCAGGUCUUGCGGAGUAUCCUUCAAGGUGCUGGAACCAGCGUAGAUGAAGGGACCGGACAGUUCCCCUGCUGUACCGUGGGCGACCUACUUGUGAUGUGGACCUGGACCUCCGCCAUGUAGCAGACCCCCCCCCC
This is a long non-coding RNA of Pseudophryne corroboree (corroboree frog), 6017 nucleotides long. RefSeq lists it as uncharacterized. NCBI's taxonomy places the organism in Eukaryota, Metazoa, Chordata, Amphibia, Anura, Myobatrachidae. The transcript has 3 exons. The record is from RefSeq and is a predicted model, not a curated record.